UGAGGAAUAUUGCGCAAUGGACGAAAGUCUGACGCAGCAACGCCGCGUGAGGGAUGAAGCUCUUAGGAGUGUAAACCUUUUUUAGGAGGGAAGAACGGGUAGCAUUCGAACAGGGUGUUACUGUGACGGUACCUCCAGAAUAAGCCCCGGCUAACUCCGUGCCAGCAGCCGCGGUAAUACGGGGGGGGCUAGCGUUGUCCGGAAUUAUUGGGCGUAAAGGGCGCGUAGGCGGGAUAGUCAGUCUGAGGUGAAAGGCCAGGGCUUAACUCUGGGUUUGCCUUGGAUACUGCUAUUCUUGAGUUCGGCAGAGGGAAGUGGAAUUCCUGGUGUAGCGGUGAAAUGCGUAGAUAUCAGGAAGAACACCGGUGGCGAAGGCGGCUUCCUGGUCCGAUACUGACGCUGAGGCGCGAAAGCGUGGGGAGCGAACA
Molecule: ribosomal RNA, 428 nt
Filed under: uncultured bacterium
Lineage: Bacteria
Description: bacterial SSU rRNA
Rfam family: Bacterial small subunit ribosomal RNA
Source: RNAcentral